Molecule: ribosomal RNA, 414 nt
Filed under: uncultured microorganism
Description: bacterial SSU rRNA
Rfam family: Archaeal small subunit ribosomal RNA
Source: RNAcentral
CAGCCGCCGCGGUAAUACCGGCGGCCCGAGUGGCGGUCACUAUUAUUGGGCUUAAAGCGUCCGUAGCCGGGUUGGGAAGUACUCCGGGAAAUCUGGCCGCUUAACGGUCAGAAUGCCGGAGGAUACUCCCAGCCUAGGGAGCGGGAGAGGCCGAGGGGAUUCCCGGAGUAGGGGGGAAAUCCUAUAAUCCCGGGAGGACCACCUGUGGCGAAGGCGCUCGGCUGGACCGCGUCCGACGGUGAGGGACGAAGGCCAGGGGAGCAAACCGGAUUAGAUACCCGGGUAGUCCUGGCUGUAAACGAUGCGGACUUUGUGUCGGACAAGCUAUGAGCUUGUCCGGUGCCGGAGGGAAACCGUUAAGUCCGCCGCCUGGGGAGUACGGCCGCAAGGUUGAAACUUAAAGGAAUUGGCGGG